This 260-nucleotide ribosomal RNA is filed under the name uncultured bacterium. RNAcentral's name for it is "partial 16S ribosomal RNA". It matches the Rfam family "Bacterial small subunit ribosomal RNA", at positions 524 to 776 of the family's 1533-position model. The record is from RNAcentral.
UACGGAGGAUGCAAGUGUUAUCCGGAAUCACUGGGCGUAAAGCGUCUGUAGGUUGUUUGCUAAGUCUGCUGUUAAAGCUUGAAGCUCAACUUCAAAAAUGCAGCGGAAGCUAGUAGACUAGAAUUCGGUAGGGGCAGAGGGAAUUCCCGGCGGAGCGGUGAAAUGCGUAGAGAUCGGGAAGAACGCCAAGGGCGAAGGCACUCUGCUAGGCCUGAUUUCGCGACUGACACUCAGGGACGAGAGCCAGGGGAGCGAAUGGG